CCCACUUCUGAACCUUUCCCUCUUUCUGAAUGGGUUAGGAACUGUGGAUUGCGAGUGUACAGUCUGAGACUAAAGUUGUGUCAAGGUUUUGUCCGAUUAUGAAAUGUAACGCGUGAAACAUUAUGAACAUCCGAAUGUAGAUAAAUGCUAGGUGCUGGCAAGCCUGAAUCGUUUAAGCUGCAGUUCAGAUAGCGGUUCAGUGCUUCACAUCUGCCACUGUUGAGAUAAUGACCAAAGCAAACCAAGGGAAUUAAAAAGUUUCCGAAGAUUUACUGUGUCGGUUCCAUAUUCGGUGCGGAAUGCGUUGUCUUACAAUUCAGGAAAUAUAUUGAUCAUCAAGUUUGCUUCAGACAUUGCUUCAAAGAGAUUAAUGGUUCGAAAGGACAAAGAAACGCCACACUCGGGAGGAUGUGAGCUAUAAUGACGUAUGAGGUGUGGCAAACACAGAUGCCUAAGUGCUACCGACCGUCUGUAUGACAUGCGGCAGACAACGCCAUAAGCAUCAUAAGCCCGGGAGGAUAGCGACUGUAAGAAAAGGGCUUAUUAGAAACAUCCUGUUGGCUUUCAAACUUCAGCUGCUUCACACAUUUUAGUUGCAAGAGAUUGGAUGAUUGAGGAGUGUCAUCCAUCCAGUGACACAACAACACACUUAAGUGUAAGACAGCUGGAGAUGAAGUAAUGUGUGUGCCUCAACCUUCUCUUGGUGCAUCCUGUUCAGUUCUCAAGCCACAAGUGAAGAGAAAUUGUCAUGGCAGUUCAUGCUGUAUUGUUCUGGCACUUCUUGCUGUUGCUGGUUGGUGCUAGUACUAUUGCUAUGCUUUUCACAUGCAUCAUAUUUUCACAUGCAUCAUAGCAGUUCAUGCUGUAGCUGGCAGGUGAUGGUGCAGCUUCUUUGUUUUUCUCAUUUAUCAGAAACUGUGUAACUCAUAAAUGUAACAUUUUGUUAUUACAGCAGGUCUCUCUGGCCACUCAUGAUAACAACAACUGACUGUAUGAGGACCAGUGUUAUGGAUUGUUAAGGUUUGGACAUGAGGAUAUUGCUUUCAGAUUCAAGUAACAUAAAUUCUGAUUUGAUGACUUAACAGUUUUACUUUUUUUCUUUGUAUAAAUUCAGUAAAAUUAUAAAAUAUUCUGCAUGCACAGUAAACUCUAAUUUAAUUGUAUUUUAUAAGUCCCAAGUUAAAUGAUGCCUCUGAUACACAGCCAUUUCUGCAGAGGCUUACCACAUCAUGCAAUCUGAGUGCCAUAGAACAGUAAUUGUCAUGUAUCCCACUUUUCUCCUAUCAAACUGGAAAAUGGAAGGCCGUACACCAUCCUUUUUUGUUUCAGUCUUAGUCAGGUUGUUAUUCCUCUCAUUCUUACCUUUGGCACUUUGUGGUGUAAUUCAUUAGUCUGCUUGCUUUGAACCAAUCCAUAAAUCAGUCAUCAAUUAGUUAUUCAUAUCCUUACCAUAGUAGUUGUUUUCAUUAUCUGCUGGCAAUUAAAGGGUGCAAAAGGAUGUGCUGCAUACAUUUAUGACAUUAUUGCAUAAUCUGAGUGGGAGGAGCAUCUGGCAUUGUUGCAGAAAGUGUUAAAGAACCUUGAUGAUACAUUGUACAUUAAUAGAAAGUAAUUUUAUUUUGGCUUACAUAAAACAGGAAUAAGCAUCUGGAAUUGCUACAGAAAUUGUUAAAGAAUCUCAGUGAUGCAAAUAUCAUUGUAAAUUAAUGGAAAAUUAUUUUUUAAGGCUUACAUAAAACAUUUUGGCCAUGAAAUGGAUCAAGAUGUUCAUCUAUUAGAUGUGAAGCUGAUGGAUGUUGCAAGAUACCCUUCUUCAUCAAGCAAUGAGGAAUUGUUGAAAUUUCUAGUAUACUACAAGCUACUAUAGACUUUUAAGUAGAUCUUUUAUCAUGAUAUUCCCAUUGAUUAGACUGCCUGAGAAGGUGAAGUCUGCCUGGAGUGAGCACUGUGAAGAUGUUUUGAGGAAACUAAGGGUUUGGUGGUUAGUGUUGCCUUACUGAUCAUGCCAGAUUGUAGGAAAAAUUUAAAUUGUUCAUAGAUGUCAAUGGAGACAGUAUAGGAGGAGUACUGAUGCAUGAAUUGGUACGUGUUGAUCAUCCUAUUGGAUAUUAUUCUGAGACAUUUAUCUUCUUAAAGGAAUUAUAGUACCAUAGAGAAAAGAAACUAUGGCAUUGACCUUUGCAUUUUGGUAUAUAUGUUAGAGGAGCUGCAUUAACUAUGAAGGUCUUUACAGAUCAUUACCCACCUUAGUUUUCUUGAGUAGCCUCAGAAAUUAUGUGAUAGUGUCUGCUGCUGCAGGACUAUGAUAUUGGUAUUUUUCACAUAAGAGGGAAGAAAAUAUUACAGCAGAUGCACCCUCUUGGAUUCCAUGAAAAAGUGAGUCAUCCUGUGGGAGGAUGGAAUGGGUGUGAUAAGUACCCUGGCUGACCACUCCUCCCAUAACUGGAGGUAACCACAGGAAGGAUGGUGACUGGCAACUAGCAUGUUAGUUUAUUGCUGUUAUGUGUAAGAUGGGAUGACUGGAGUUGUUGGCUCAUUUGCUGUAUUCCACAGUGCAUGUGUAGAGUAUGGCAUACAUUGUUUUGCUGUAUUGGGGGAGGUAGAGCGAGUGGCUUGUUCAAAUGAAUGCCCAGGACUUAUUGGCCUUGACUCCAGUAGGACUUCCCAGGAUGUAAUUAAUCAUCUCUUAGUAAAAAGGUAAAUUUACAGUAUAACUGCCCAAGGGAAGUGUUAUUCACUGCAGGACUAUCAUUGUGGCAGAUCAAGGAAGCUUAAGACUUUUUAGCUUCCUUGGAGUGGGUAGAGGUGACACUAACAGGCAGUGAGCAGUGUGGCAGUUGACGUGCUGUCCAUAUCCUCAGCUCUCAUGAGCUACAUCAUUGUCUGUGUUGUUUACUGCCUUGUUGGUUGACUUAUUCAUUUAGGGAAGCAAGACAGCUGUGAAGGGAAGGUGCUAAGUGUGUGUAUUACAAGGAUUCUAAACAACACUGAUCACUUUGAAAACUUAGAGCCCAUAUGGAUAGAUAGUCUGUUUUUUUUAUGUAUUCAUUUUUAUUUAUUUAUCUAUUUAUUUAUUUAAUUAAUUAAUUAAUUUAUUUAUUUUCAUUUUUUUGUUAAGAGCGAUAUUGGUUAGGGCAACACAAAGGAAGGUAAAGCUGGCCCACUGAGUUUCAAGUCCCUAAAGAGAAAGCCAAAAGGAUUAUUCAAAAUUGGAAGAUAAAUGAUAGCUUCCUCUUGAAAGACUUCAAGUCAUAAGAUGCAUGCUAAAUGUACAGAAAGUCAGAUAAAUAUAAACAAAUUAUGUAAUAGAUGAUUA
Long non-coding RNA from Scylla paramamosain (green mud crab), 3316 nucleotides. RefSeq lists it as uncharacterized. NCBI's taxonomy places the organism in Eukaryota, Metazoa, Arthropoda, Malacostraca, Decapoda, Portunidae. The transcript has 3 exons. The record is from RefSeq and is a predicted model, not a curated record.